Siniperca chuatsi (mandarin fish) is the source of this 921-nucleotide long non-coding RNA. RefSeq lists it as uncharacterized. The transcript has 3 exons. NCBI's taxonomy places the organism in Eukaryota, Metazoa, Chordata, Actinopteri, Centrarchiformes, Sinipercidae. The record is from RefSeq and is a predicted model, not a curated record.
UUCUUCUGUUGUCGUCAUGUCAGUGGCUGAGGAAGCAGAAGAUGUAUGCAUCGAGUAAGUUCCCCCCUGUUGAUAUGCAUCUAACAAGUUGUUUAUGCAAAUGUCAUAUGUAAUAUGCGCAUUCAAUUGUCGUCUUCACGCAUGCAGGCGCUGCAUCCACGGACCCCUCAGACGACAUGCUCCUCGCCGCUGCCAUGUUGGUCGACUCUCAGCGUGAGUGUAUAUGACUGUAACAGAGUGACAACUGUAAGUCUCUGUUUUGCAGUGGACAGGGAUGCCCCACCAGCUGUCACCCCGCCUGGACCCUCUGUGACCGGACCUUCCCAUAGGUGCUGCCCAAGAGCUGGAGAAUGACGCUGCCGGAGGAGCAACAGGACUGGCUGGGCCGGGCUCUGUUCACCAGAGGCACGGGUGGGCAGCCAGUCCUCACUGCUGACCUCCAUCUGUGGUGGUUCCCCCCCGCAGACCGGCCCCUCUACACCCAGCCCCCCACCACUGCCCACGCCUUCUUCCAGAGCCGGUUCUUCUUCUGCGCAUACAAGCUGGUGGGCCUGUACAAGACCGUCCGGUACUUCAUGGGCACAGAAAGUACGCGGCGUGGGCACAGGACAUCUUGGGACAGCUGGACCUGGCACACCAGGAACGGUUUCCAGCUGUCUUCACUUACAAAUUGGGCUGCUGAAGGAACGCACUUUGGGCAACAGUGCGUCUCUCCUCCACGCUGCUGUGGUGGAUCAACACACCAGAGAGUGGAUGAGCAGGUCGAUGAGCUAUCUUUCCGUGCUUCGCGUGCCAGGUGCCCGUUACCCAGCGUGUCCUGGCUGCUGUCUGUGUACGUGAGGGAUGUCCUCACUCGCCUGGACGAGUCAAAAGCCAGGGUCACGUCCAUCUUUGGUGUUAUCUUAAAGAUGGGACUCCACC